GUCCUCUUUGAAACCUCUGAACGAUGAUGCGGCGGUGGAGACAAUCAAGAUCCGUAACGGUGUCUGUAGACUGUAGUUAACUCUACUACGUAUUAGGCUUAAGCCUCCGACGAGGCGAUGACAAGGAGCGAGUAGAACAUUACGCACAUUGACCGUAUCAGUUAAAUUUACUUGCUUUGAUUUAUGACGAUUCAGAAGUCCAGAGAGAAGGUGUUGACGAAUUCGAUGCAACCAUCACAAAACAGUUCUUCUUAUAUCUCUGAAAGCUGGAGUCGAACUGAAUCUAACCGCAUCUUCACACAUCUUCUUAACGGUUACCAUUUCUGUUCAAACUUGCGUUUAAAUUCUUCUUGAUUAUGAAGAGUUGAUGAUUCCUCCGUUUCUUGAAAUGCUUAUGAUCCAUCAGUGGAAGAGCAAUCGAUCAUAUGAGAAUUAAUUUCGUAGGGCAGAGAAAAUGGCAUGUGGAAGAAGCUUCAUUGUUAAAGUAAUAUUAUAAAGUGCAUUUUCAUUGAGUUUCUUACACCUGGUGGAGCAUGCAAAGUGCAAAUUGUCUUACAUUGAGAACACUUCUGGCGGUAACUCAUAAAGCUUCUCGCUAAACAGGAGGAGUUAGAUUUUGCGUGGAGCAGCAUAUGAUUUGGGGAGGAUGUUGUUUCAACCGUGACAAGGAAGAAUCUUGAGAGCUAUGGUUUCCCUGCUUCCUGAAUUGGUUCUAAACAAGCAGAAGAACGUCAAGAGAAAACGGAACGUUAUGAUCUGGUUGGACAUGAAGCUUGUGGAAUGCAACUGGAUCGCUUGGUGCAACUUGCAAGCAAUUUUAUUGUAAAACAAACCAUGAGAAAAAGGUGGUCAAGGAAGGUGAUGGAAGAUCUAACUCCAUUAACGGAGCUAUAAUAGAAGAAACUUUAAAGCUUGUUUCAAAGAGGACGACAUGUAAAUUGAAGUGAAUGAUUAGGGUUGGGGACAUGGGCCACGAUAAACUAACGAAAGACAAAGCCCAAAACCCACCUCAAUUACCCAAUACGCAGCACUUCAUUAAUCUGACGUGUCAAGCUUUGGGUGAGCCAAUUUCUGAGCUGGCAUCUGAUGUGGCUUCAUGGGAGAGAUGAAAAGGUUUCUUUAUAUAUAAAGAUACUAUCAGUUUUUUUUUUAACACCAUAGUAUCAGUUUUUUGUCUUUUUUUUUGGCAUUUAUGAAUUGAUCCCAAUAGUCUAAAAGCUUCCGUUCAUAUUGAUAAAGCCUUU
Raphanus sativus (radish) is the source of this 1244-nucleotide long non-coding RNA. RefSeq lists it as uncharacterized. The transcript has 7 exons. The record is from RefSeq and is a predicted model, not a curated record. Lineage: Eukaryota; Viridiplantae; Streptophyta; Magnoliopsida; Brassicales; Brassicaceae.